UACGAGAGGCCCAAACGUUAAUCGGAAUUACUGGGCGUAAAGCGUGCGCAGGCGGCUUUGCAAGACAGAUGUGAAAUCCCCGGGCUCAACCUGGGAACUGCAUUUGUGACUGCAUGGCUGGAGUGCGGCAGAGGGGGAUGGAAUUCCGCGUGUAGCAGUGAAAUGCGUAGAUAUGCGGAGGAACACCGAUGGCGAAGGCAAUCCCCUGGGCCUGCACUGACGCUCAUGCACGAAAGCGUGGGGAGCAAACAGG
RNAcentral lists this ribosomal RNA (253 nucleotides) under uncultured bacterium. Its description in RNAcentral is "partial 16S ribosomal RNA". It matches the Rfam family "Bacterial small subunit ribosomal RNA", at positions 524 to 776 of the family's 1533-position model. The record is from RNAcentral.